GGUAGCAGCUCAGUGGUAGAGCAUGUGCUUAGCAUGCACAAGGUCCUGGGUUCAUUCACAGUGCCACCA
This 69-nucleotide transfer RNA is filed under the name Camelus bactrianus (Bactrian camel). It matches the Rfam family "tRNA". From Rfam's summary of the family: Transfer RNA (tRNA) molecules are approximately 80 nucleotides in length. RNAcentral also lists the same sequence under 2 other names. The record is from Rfam by way of RNAcentral. Lineage: Eukaryota; Metazoa; Chordata; Mammalia; Artiodactyla; Camelidae.